RNAcentral lists this ribosomal RNA (415 nucleotides) under uncultured bacterium. Its description in RNAcentral is "bacterial SSU rRNA". It matches the Rfam family "Bacterial small subunit ribosomal RNA", at positions 32 to 423 of the family's 1533-position model. The record is from RNAcentral.
AAUCAACGCUGGCGGCGUGCCUCAGACAUGCAAGUCGAACGCGAAAGGUUCCUUCGGGAGCCGAGUAGAGUGGCGCUCGGGUGAGUAACACGUAGGUAAUUUGCCUUUGGGUGGGGAAUAACAAUCGGAAACGGUUGCUAAUACCGCAUAAUGCAGCGGCUCGACAUCGAGACAGUUGUUAAAGCGGGGGAGUCCUUCGGGACCUCGCGCCUAAAGAGAAGCCUGCGGCGGAUUAGCUAGUUGGUGAGGUAAUGGCUCACCAAGGCGACGAUCCGUAACCGGCCUGAGAGGGCGGACGGUCACACUGACACUUAAAUACGGGUCAGACUCCUACGGGAGGCAGCAGUCGGGAAUUUUGGGCAAUGGGCGAAAGCCUGACCCAGCAACGCCGCGUGAAGGAUGAAAUCCCUCGGGA